GGGGUGUAAACGUGCCAGGCCGAGCCCGAGCUCGACUGGGCUCGAGCUCGGCUCAGCUCAGUUCAAGCCUAUUUAUUUGAGCUCGGGCUCGGCUCGCGAGUAAAAUCCAAAGCUCGAGCUCGGCUCGACUCGGCUCGAGCUAUUCUGAGAACAACCUCAAACAAACAAAAAGUUCGGCUUGAGCUCGCUUCAAUUAGCCAAAGCUCGGCUCGAGCUCAACUCGCCAAUGUUAUCAUCAUUAUUAUUAUAUUAUAUAAAGCAUAAAUAAAUUAUUGUUUGGGCUCGUUUAGGCUCGCAAGCCUAAACGAGCUUUGUAUUUCUGGCUCGAGCUCGAGGUCGAUAACUAUAUGAGCUCUAAUUCAGGCUCGAGCUCGUCAAAGCUCGGCUCGUUUGAGUUUUUAACCGAGCCGAUAACGAGUAGCUCUCGAGCCUCUGGGCUUGUUAACACCCCUACUCUCUACUAAUUUAAACUCUAUAGACACAUUAUGUAAAAGUUUUUUUUUUCAAAGAAAACUUCAUUAAACCAACACGCCAAACCUCAAACCGAGGCGGCAGCCACUUCUUGUUAGAAUCUAUAUAUUUUAAUCAAGAAAUUGUUUGUACAGGUUUGUUUCAGUUCAAAAACCUAGAAAGUUGGUUGUGUGGUUGUUGGAAUCAGUAGUCUCGGAAAUUCGUACCUUUUUGUUCAGCGAACAAUACAUGAAUACGAAAAUAGUGUAUUCAUUUAACGUCUUUUUCAUUGGUUCAUCGUCAACUUGUUACUCAAAUCAAAUAUGUUAUGUUUGGGUGUUUUGUAAUUCAGCGUGGUAUUAA
RNAcentral lists this long non-coding RNA (813 nucleotides) under Helianthus annuus (common sunflower). RNAcentral describes it as "hypothetical non coding rna". Lineage: Eukaryota; Viridiplantae; Streptophyta; Magnoliopsida; Asterales; Asteraceae. The record is from RNAcentral.